Coffea arabica (coffee) is the source of this 1092-nucleotide RNA transcript. RefSeq lists it as uncharacterized. The record is from RefSeq and is a predicted model, not a curated record. Lineage: Eukaryota; Viridiplantae; Streptophyta; Magnoliopsida; Gentianales; Rubiaceae.
CUACGUCGUUGGUCUAAAUUUCGCUUCAAAAAGAAGAGUGAGAGAGUUUUAAAAACCUGCGAGAGCGAAGGGGAGGAAAGAGAGUAGUGAGGCAGCGUCGGAGGAGAAGAGGAGAUAUGGCAGCGGCUGCUCCGGCGAAAUGUUUUCUCGUUACCGGUCCUCCGGGCGUAGGGAAGACGACACUCAUAAUUCGAGUGUUGGAGAGCCUAAAAACUGCUUACCCAAACUUGAAGGUUCAAGGUUUCUAUACUCGUGAAAUAAGAGAAGGAAGUGACAGAGUAGGCUUUGAAGUGGUGACGCUCGAUGGACGUACUGGUCCUCUCGCUUCCAACAAAAUCUCCAGCGCUGAGUCUCUUAGAUGGCCUACCGUAGGGAGGUACAGAGUAGAUGUGGCUUCCUUUGAAUCACUAGCGUUGCCAGAGUUGCAGGUCAAGGAAGAUACUGAACUUUUUAUCAUUGAUGAAGUUGGUAAGAUGGAGCUGUGCAGUUCUUUUUUCUUUCCUGCUGUACUAAGAGUCCUGCAAUCAAAUAUUCCACUCUUGGCUUCUAUUCCCAUACCAAAAUCUGGCAGAGAUAUACCUGGAGUUGCAAGGUUGAGAAAUGAACCUGGUGCUACUGUUUUUACGUUGAGUAAAAAUAACAGAGAUGCCAUGAAAGAGCAGAUCUAUUCCCAUCUGACAGACUUGCUGCCUAAGCUGUAGAUGUCUUGACAUUACGCUAAGAAACCUUUUAGAACAGUUUGCAUUCAAUUGAAAGGGCAAUUACAGAAGUGAAACACUUGAGCUUGGGUAUAGGAAAGCCUUUGUCAGUUUGAAUCAGAAAUGGGAGAGGUUGAGGCAGUAUAUGAAUGACGGCAAUAUCAGCAGGAACUUGACCUGAAUUCCCUGUAGGAAGGUUAGUCAUCAGGAUUUGUGCAUAAUAGAUGCUGUUGCAUCUUCUCUCACUACAAGGUAUUGUUAAUUCCUCUACGUAGCCGAAUAAAUUAAUUGUUGAUUACUUUGUUUUCCCACUCUCAGGUAGUCUUUUUCCUCCAUUGCUCAAUCUCAAAUAUUCAUAACCACAAAACCAAAAAAAAAAAAAAAUUGACUAUAA